GACGAACGCUGGCGGCGUGCCUAAUACAUGCGAGUCGAGCGAGCGGAACUAACAGAUUUACUUCGGUAAUGACGUUAGGAAAGCGAGCGGCGGAUGGGUGAGUAACACGUGGGGAACCUGCCCCAUAGUCUGGGAUACCACUUGGAAACAGGUGCUAAUACCGGAUAAGAAAGCAGAUCGCAUGAUCAGCUUUUAAAAGGCGGCGUAAGCUGUCGCUAUGGGAUGGCCCCGCGGUGCAUUAGCUAGUUGGUAAGGUAAAGGCUUACCAAGGCGAUGAUGCAUAGCCGAGUCGAGAGACUGAUCGGCCACAUUGGGACUGAGACACGGCCCAAACUCCUACGGGAGGCAGCAGUAGGGAAUCUUCCACAAUGGACGCAAGUCUGAUGGAGCAACGCCGCGUGAGUGAAGAAGGUUUUCGGAUCGUAAAGCUCUGUUGUUGGUGAAGAAGGAUAGAGGUAGUAACUGGCCUUUAUUUGACGGUAAUCAACCAGAAAGUCACGGCUAACUACGUG
This 512-nucleotide ribosomal RNA is filed under the name uncultured bacterium. RNAcentral describes it as "partial 16S ribosomal RNA". It matches the Rfam family "Bacterial small subunit ribosomal RNA", at positions 28 to 507 of the family's 1533-position model. The record is from RNAcentral.